UCCGGGCCCAAUCUAAGCCCGAUAUCCUUUUCGGCCCAUGGUUGGCAGCCCAUUUGAGGGCUGCCACCUCAUGUUAAUUGAGAGGACAGAGGAGUCCAGCUGUCGGCACUGGGUGCAGCUGAAACAAUGCUGCUAAAGCGGUGACUACUGCUUAAGAAAUCCCCAAACCCCCUGCCUUCUCUCCUCUUGAUGUAUUCGAGAUAACAGAGAAAGAAAGAAACAAAGAGAGAAAGGAAGGGGAAGGAAGAAGACUCACCGCGUGCGGCCGCGAGCGUCGCCGGCGCCCUGGAAGCUAGGUAAUUAAGGAUUUGUCACCUGGACUUGAGAAAUUUGGAAAGCGAAUCACUAUCCUCACCACUGAUAGCUGUCGGAGACACUUUAAUUUGGUAUCUGGGCUUCUUUCCUUUGGGGUAAAAUAAGUAUACUUUUGUGUACAUAAACUACAUAGAAGCUCUGUAUUUGGGUACUGACCAGCAUGUUGUACUAAGAAUGCUUUCAUAUAUAAAGGUUUGGUUGGUUUGACUA
Non-coding RNA from Phoenix dactylifera (date palm), 525 nucleotides. The record is from RefSeq and is a predicted model, not a curated record. Lineage: Eukaryota; Viridiplantae; Streptophyta; Magnoliopsida; Arecales; Arecaceae.